GUAGGUUAUUGCCAGGGUUUUUAUUUUUAUACUUUAAACUUUGAUUUUAUUUUUAUGUUUUUUAAAUAUUGGUGUUUUUGAAUGUGUUGUUUAAAUAACAUAAAAAAUAAAAUAUAUAUUGACAUGUAUUAAACAAAGAUAUAUAUUAUUUUAUGUUGUAUAAAUAAAUUGGCAAAAUAGAGAUGGAAGAUAAAAAUAAAAACCCUGGCAAUAACCUACUCAAAU
RNAcentral lists this unclassified non-coding RNA (225 nucleotides) under Borreliella burgdorferi (Lyme disease spirochete). Its description in RNAcentral is "partial miscellaneous RNA". The record is from RNAcentral. Lineage: Bacteria; Pseudomonadati; Spirochaetota; Spirochaetia; Spirochaetales; Borreliaceae.